GGAAGAUGCAUGGUGUUGAAUCCCUAAACAUUGACAUUUACUGGGGCUUUCUAGAAGCUUUUAUAAUUUAUUUUAAAGACAUAUUUUCAUAGUUUGGACAUCAAAUUCAAGGCUAUGUGCAUGCUAGACAAACACUCUACCACUAAGCUACACCUCC
RNAcentral lists this small RNA (157 nucleotides) under Cricetulus griseus (Chinese hamster). RNAcentral's name for it is "tRNA-Ala". The record is from RNAcentral. Lineage: Eukaryota; Metazoa; Chordata; Mammalia; Rodentia; Cricetidae.